Molecule: ribosomal RNA, 253 nt
Filed under: uncultured bacterium
Lineage: Bacteria
Description: partial 16S ribosomal RNA
Rfam family: Bacterial small subunit ribosomal RNA
Source: RNAcentral
GACGUAGGGCGCGAGCGUUGUCCGGAUUUAUUGGGCGUAAAGAGCUCGUAGGCGGCUUGUCGCGUCGAAUGUGAAAACUCGGGGCUCAACCCCGCGCUUGCAUUCGAUACGGGCAGGCUCGAGUUCGGUAGGGGAGACUGGAAUUCCUGGUGUAGCGGUGAAAUGCGCAGAUAUCAGGAGGAACACCGGUGGCGAAGGCGGCAUCCUGGACCGGUAUUGACGCUGAGGCGCGAAAGCCAGGGGAGCAAACGGG